UACGUAGGGGGCAAGCGUUGUCCGGAUUUAUUGGGCGUAAAGAGCGUGUAGGCGGUCAGGUAGGUCCGUUGUGAAAACUCGAGGCUCAACCUCGAGACGCCGAUGGAAACCAUCUGACUAGAGUCCGGAAGAGGAGAGUGGAAUUCCUGGUGUAGCGGUGAAAUGCGCAGAUAUCAGGAAGAACACCGAUGGCGAAGGCAGGUCUCUGGGCCAUUACCGACACUGAGAAGCGAAAGCAUGGGGAGCGAACAGG
Molecule: ribosomal RNA, 253 nt
Filed under: uncultured bacterium
Lineage: Bacteria
Description: partial 16S ribosomal RNA
Rfam family: Bacterial small subunit ribosomal RNA
Source: RNAcentral